Molecule: ribosomal RNA, 301 nt
Filed under: uncultured bacterium
Lineage: Bacteria
Description: partial 16S ribosomal RNA
Rfam family: Bacterial small subunit ribosomal RNA
Source: RNAcentral
CAGUCGCCACGGGAAUACGAAGGGUGCAAGCGUUACUCGGAAUUACUGGGCGUAAAGCGUGCGUAGGUGGUGGUUUAAGUCCGUUGUGAAAGCCCUGGGCUCAACCUGGGAAUUGCAGUGGAUACUGGGUCACUAGAGUGUGGUAGAGGAUAGUGGAAUUUCCGGUGUAGCAGUGAAAUGCGUAGAGAUCGGAAGGAACAUCUGUGGCGAAGGCGACUAUCUGGGCCAACACUGACACUGAGGCACGAAAGCGUGGGGAGCAAACAGGAUUAGAUACCCCGGUAGUCCCUGUCUCUUUACA